Molecule: ribosomal RNA, 354 nt
Filed under: Legionella pneumophila
Lineage: Bacteria; Pseudomonadati; Pseudomonadota; Gammaproteobacteria; Legionellales; Legionellaceae
Also listed under: 1 other name
Description: partial 23S ribosomal RNA
Rfam family: Bacterial large subunit ribosomal RNA
Source: RNAcentral
UUAUAUGGUCAAGAAGAGAAGCGCAAACGGUGGAUGCCUUGGCAGUAAGAGGCGAAGAAGGACGUGGAAUCCUGCGAAAAGCUAUGGGGAGCUGGAAACGAGCGAUGAGCCAUAGAUGUCCGAAUGGGGGAACCCGGCUGCAGCGAUGCGGUCAUUUGCAUUUGAAUACAUAGGAUGCAAAGGCGAACUCGGGGAACUGAAACAUCUAAGUACCCGAAGGAAAAGAAAUCAAGAGAGAUUCUCCAAGUAGCGGCGAGCGAACGGGGAGGAGCCUGGCGUGAUUUAUUAUUGAACUGAGUAGAACAAUUUGGGAAAGUUGGCGAUAGAGGGUGAAAGCCCCGUAUACGAAGGUUU